CCUACGGGAGGCAGCAGUGGGGAAUAUUGCACAAUGGGGGAAACCCUGAUGCAGCGACGCCGCGUGAGUGAAGAAGUAUUUCGGUAUGUAAAGCUCUAUCAGCAGGGAAGAAGAAAGACGGUACCUGACUAAGAAGCCCCGGCUAACUACGUGCCAGCAGCCGCGGUAAUACGUAGGGGGCAAGCGUUAUCCGGAUUUACUGGGUGUAAAGGGAGCGUAGACGGCUGUGCAAGUCUGAAGUGAAAGCCCCGGGCUCAACCCUGGGACUGCUUUGGAAACUGUGGAGCUAGAGUGCUGGAGAGGUAAGUGGAAUUCCUAGUGUAGCGGUGAAAUGCGUAGAUAUUAGGAGGAACACCAGUGGCGAAGGCGGCUUACUGGACAGUAACUGACGUUGAGGCUCGAAAGCGUGGGGAGCAAACAGGAUUAGAUACCCCAGUAGUC
RNAcentral lists this ribosomal RNA (441 nucleotides) under uncultured bacterium. RNAcentral describes it as "partial 16S ribosomal RNA". It matches the Rfam family "Bacterial small subunit ribosomal RNA", at positions 338 to 795 of the family's 1533-position model. The record is from RNAcentral.